UUUCCGUAGGUGAACCUGCGGAAGGAUCAUUACCGAAUCGUCAAACACGGGUUGUUGCUGGCCCCCCGAACGGGGCAUGUGCACGCUCUGUUUACGCAUCCACUCACACCUGUGCACCCUCUGUAGUUCUAUGGUUCGGAAGACCCCGUCUUCCUUCCGUGGCUCUACGUCUUUACACACGCACCGUAGCGACGUCUCAUGGAAUGUUUUUAUGCGUUUAACGCGAUACAAUACAACUUUCAGCAACGGAUCUCUUGGCUCUC
This 263-nucleotide unclassified non-coding RNA is filed under the name soil metagenome. RNAcentral describes it as "partial contains small subunit ribosomal RNA, internal transcribed spacer 1, and 5.8S ribosomal RNA". The record is from RNAcentral.